GGGCCUAUCUGGUUUUGACAGUAAGACGAGAUGGUACGUAAGCAUGCGGAGUCUCGGUAGCUCGCUCCUAAAACUGAGUUGUCAAACAAUUAAUUGGCGAAAAAUCUUACGCUCUCGCUGCUUAAUCGAAGUACAGUAGAUUGGCUUUAUCGUGUUACCAGGUAACAUGACGAGACAUCACUCCGAAGGUGUUGUUCCGAAUCUGAGGGAAUAGUGGUGCAGUAAAUCGGAAAUAGUUUGUGCUUGCCUCGCGGUGCAAAUGAAAACUUAGAGGAUAAGGCUUCAGUUUAGUGGUCCGGGGCUUGUUGAAGCACGAAAAUCAAAGGCCGGAAUAAGCAUGUAGAAAGCGUAUGGUUUCCUUGCUGGACAUCGGUUCGACUCCGAUUAGGUCCACC
RNAcentral lists this transfer-messenger RNA (395 nucleotides) under uncultured Prevotella sp. It matches the Rfam family "transfer-messenger RNA". From Rfam's summary of the family: Bacterial tmRNA, also known as 10Sa RNA or SsrA, is named for its dual tRNA and mRNA-like properties. Its role is to liberate the mRNA from a stalled ribosome. To accomplish this part of the tmRNA is used as a reading frame that ends in a translation stop signal. The record is from RNAcentral. Lineage: Bacteria; Pseudomonadati; Bacteroidota; Bacteroidia; Bacteroidales; Prevotellaceae.